GUUUAAAAGAUCGUGAGACUCAAGUUUAGGCGCGCGGUUACACCUCGACAGAUCUUUGAUGAUAACUUCUGGUUAUAUUUCGUUUACCCUGAGAGCGACGACGUGGGUUUCUUCGGUUUGCGACCAGUGCUGUAAGAAGUCUAACUUGCCUAACACUCCUGAAGCAGAAGACAAGAUGAAGCACUUCCUGGUUCCAGGUUUUCUAUGAGUAGUUCGAGUCUUUAAUCUUCAGAGGUCCUCUUUGGGAACCUAAAUCCACACUUUGACUUAUUAGUGUUCCAGAACGCGGGUUUACAAUGUUAGGAGCACGGUUGUUUCGUUAUUUCCUUUUGUUUUUCACCAGCUACUGUUAUUAUUCAGGGUGUCUUGACCCGGGUUACCGUACGGUGGCUGAGUCUGCCCAGAUAAAUAUGCGCUCGGCUGUACACACUGCGUAAACUCAAUGAGCAGAAGAAGCCUACUACUUCACUGUUUGGUUAGUCGACACUAAAAAGGAUGAUUAUUACCAUACGACUGUAGUUAACUCAUGAACCUCGCUCCUCUUUCAAGGUUUCAUGGGAUUUCCAAGCAACCACCCUGUAGAUAGUAGUUCGAGAAUACAGAAAUCGACGGGUUCAUGCGACCGCGUUUGAAGACGAUGCCAAGUUCCAUUAGAACUUUCGUAUGGACUUCGCCACCUUCUCCUAGUGUAUCAAAAGUGAUUGUGUCCAUUAGAACUUUCGUAUGGACUUCGCCACCUUCUCCUAGUGUCUCAAAAGUGAUUGUGUCCAAGGGGUUGUCUUUCGAAACAACGCCUGCUAUUACUCAAACUUCUUCUUCUACUACUCAUGAAGGUAACAGUACCUACGGAAUGAAGGGAUGUACAUAACGUGUUUUUGACGUUCUGGAUAUAUUGUGAUAAGUAGAGUACAUAUACAUCCGCUACUACUUCUGACACUACUGUACUACCUACGUAAAUGUCGCCAAGGACUAGGUAUACUAGCACAGAUGCUCUUAUAUGGACACUCUUCUACCUACUUCGGUCUCGAGCUCCCGGUUGUAACAAUCGUAUCUACCAAAACUCGUUUGCUGAUUUUCUUCUUUCCUCGAGAAACUCCUGACAACACUGUAUCUAGGUCGUUCGACCACUACCACCACGUCCUUCACAUACCCGCAGCUGUACCGACCUUGGGGUACCAGUACUCUGAUCGCUACAUCAGCAGCAGCAGGAAAAACACGAGAGGACACAACCAGAUAAAACCCUAAGACACAUGUUAUAGAAAAAAAAAGACAUACUCUCAAUUGACGUCAAACAGUCCAAUGACCAACUGCUACGAGAACAAGUACAAUGGUUCCUACUACAUCCCUCAUCAACAAAUGCGCACAACCCAAACCCACCGAUUACGAGUCGGGCAUACCACACACAUACACGCACACACAUAACCCAAACCCACCGAUUACGGGUCGGGCAUACCACACACAUUAUGACUUUUUAAGAUAUAACAAACGUAAAUGAUAAGUAAACCUACAUACAUUCGAGCCCUUGUAUUAACUUAUAAACCUUUUCGU
Molecule: ribosomal RNA, 1548 nt
Filed under: Triticum aestivum (bread wheat)
Lineage: Eukaryota; Viridiplantae; Streptophyta; Magnoliopsida; Poales; Poaceae
Description: partial small subunit ribosomal RNA
Source: RNAcentral